CAAGAAAGACACAGCCCUGACUUCCCAGAGCCUGACCUCAAGUGAGGAGGACACUAAACAUAAUUAUGUAAAUGAUCACUUAGGUGGCAAUGGUGUAAACAGAUGUGAGUGCUGCCCUGGCUGCAGGGGGAGAGACAGGUGUGGACCACUCCAGCACAGUUUGCAGCCUAUUCUUUCUCCCUUCUCUCUCACUCCCCUACCCACUGGCCCCAGAGCAGAUGAUCUUAAACCAGAGCACUCAGUGACCACUGACACAGAGUCAGAUGGACAAGGUGGGGAGGUUCUUGGGAGUGGAUGGUUCCCCCUGUCCUUCCAGCUUAACAUUUGCCUGGCAGGACGCUGAUGUUCUGUGAUGUCACAGAGGAAAUAGUCCUGGGGUUUCUGACGACCACCUAAUAGCCAAGUACGUAUGUCCCCUCACUCCUUUAGCUCACACUUGCUGAGCCUUCCUCCAUGCACACUUGCCUCCGUGCUCAGUGUCAAGGGUACAGACAACAGUCAGGCAAGGGGAUGUGGGCUCAUUGAGGACCACUACCAACCCCCUCUCCUCUCCUUUCAUCCUGGAACAUGGCCUCUUAUUUAUGGGACUUUCCACUUCAGCUAUGUUAACAACAUAUGAAAUACUUGGAAAGCACUUGGGGGAAAGAACACUCCCGGCCCACAGGCCAGCAGGAAACCAUAUUACCUAAAGAAGCGGUGGCAGUGACCCUGGGAACCCCUGUAACAGUGGAGAUGCAAAGCUUUUAAAAGAAAGCACAGGGGAGCAUUUUCAUGUGCACAUGCAGAAAAGAUGUCUUAAACAAGACCAAAGUUAACUAUGGAGGGAAAAAUUGGUAAGAUGGACUAUAUUAAGAACUUCUGUUCAACAAAAGAAAGUGAAAAGGCAAGGUACAAAGGUGGACUCCAAGGCCUUAAGAGCUUGACCAUUUUUCCUGCACUUGACACCUACUGCCAAAUUGCUUUCCAGAGGGUGGCAGCAAUUUUCAUUCCGACACCACAUAUGGACAUGGAUAUCUGUUUUGUUGUGCUCUCACCAGUAUUCAGUGGAACCUUAAAAUAUUUGUUGCUUAUUUGAUGGGCAGAAAAAAGAAUCACUGAGUUGUUUUAGUGCUAUACCCUUGGGCUUUAUCAAAAGGAACAAAACAAAAUAGUUUACUGCAAAGUGUUGUUAAUGAUCCAAUAAUUCAAUUCAUAAGAACUUCUAUUAAAGAAAUAACCAGGGGGGAUCCCUGGGUGGCGCAGCGGUUUAGCGCCUGCCUUUGGCCCAGGGCGCGAUCCUGGAG
Canis lupus familiaris (dog) is the source of this 1283-nucleotide long non-coding RNA. RefSeq lists it as uncharacterized. NCBI's taxonomy places the organism in Eukaryota, Metazoa, Chordata, Mammalia, Carnivora, Canidae. The transcript is spliced from 5 exons. The record is from RefSeq and is a predicted model, not a curated record.